GACGAACGCUGGCGGCGUGCUUAACACAUGCAAGUCGAACGGAAAGGCCCUGCUUUUGUGGGGUGCUCGAGUGGCGAACGGGUGAGUAACACGUGAGUAACCUGCCCUUGACUUUGGGAUAACUUCAGGAAACUGGGGCUAAUACCGGGUAGGAGCUCCUGCUGCAUGGUGGGGGUUGGAAAGUUUCGGCGGCUGGGGAUGGACUCGCGGCGUAUCAGCUUGUUGGUGGGGUAGUGGCUUACCAAGGCUUUGACGGGUAGCCGGCCUGAGAGGGUGACCGGCCACAUUGGGACUGAGAUACGGCCCGGACUCCAACGGGAGGCAGCGGGGGGGAAUAGUGCACAACGGGCGGAAGCCUGAUGCAGCAACGCCGCGUGGGGGAUGACGGCCUUCGGGUUGGAAACCGCUUUCGCCUGUGACGAAGCGUGAGUGACGGUAAUGGGUAAAGAAGCACCGGCUAACUACGUG
This 468-nucleotide ribosomal RNA is filed under the name uncultured bacterium. RNAcentral describes it as "partial 16S ribosomal RNA". It matches the Rfam family "Bacterial small subunit ribosomal RNA", at positions 28 to 507 of the family's 1533-position model. The record is from RNAcentral.